GAGUAUAAUUUGUUUAAAAGAAUUGGCUAAGCCCAAGCAAGGUAACUAAGCCUUUCAAAAUAUCACACGAGAGCCCAAUAGCAAAAGGUCAGGCCUAACAGCCAUGGCAGCCUGCAAUAUCACCUUCAACCCUAUCUAAGAAUUAUUGAAUUAUCUAUUGAAUUUAUUAGUUUGAGCCCAACUUAUUUACCCAAAGUGCAUAGUGCAUCUUCAUAUAGCAGAACUUUUCUAUAAAUAAUAAUAAUAAUAAUAAAAUAAUUUGUUCGUUUUAAUUUGCUCAAAACGACGUCGUUCUAAACUGCAUGCUGCAUUACCCUUUUGCAAAAAACACCCGACAUAGAGUCUGACUCUUAUUCGGGUCCUCCAACCUUAUAGUUGCAUUAACAACCCGCUUACCAAUUUCCCCGAGCUAUUGGCUGGUGCACUAUCCUUCUUCAAUGUAGAACGAAACAAAAGAAACACAUACAGGAAGAAACCAUUUUUGCUUCUUCAACCUUUCGAUUGCAAAGCACAAAUGAAGUCGAUGAUAACCAAAAAGAUUCAUACCUCUUUAGUCAUUUGCCCGUCUUGCUAGCAAAAACACGCCAUCUUCAAGUUAAGCGAUGGCAGAGAUAGAUCUAGAACAU
This is a long non-coding RNA of Ipomoea nil (Japanese morning glory), 626 nucleotides long. RefSeq lists it as uncharacterized. The transcript is spliced from 2 exons. The record is from RefSeq and is a predicted model, not a curated record. Lineage: Eukaryota; Viridiplantae; Streptophyta; Magnoliopsida; Solanales; Convolvulaceae.